GCCGAGGUGGCGGAAUUGGUAGACGCAAGGGACUUAAAAUCCCUCGUCUUUUUAGACAUGUGAGUUCAAAUCUCACCCUCGGCA
RNAcentral lists this transfer RNA (84 nucleotides) under Bacteroidota bacterium. RNAcentral's name for it is "Bacteroidetes bacterium (hot springs metagenome) tRNA-Leu". It matches the Rfam family "tRNA". Rfam says of the family: Transfer RNA (tRNA) molecules are approximately 80 nucleotides in length. Their secondary structure includes four short double-helical elements and three loops (D, anti-codon, and T loops). Lineage: Bacteria; Pseudomonadati; Bacteroidota. The record is from RNAcentral.